GUCCUUUUGGUAUUUAUUUAAGGUCUGACCUGCCCACUGAUUUUUUGAAGGGCCGCAGUAAUUUGACUGUGCAAAGGUAGCAUAAUCAUUAGUUUUUUAAUUAAAAGCUUGUAUGAAGGGUUGGACGAGGUAAAAUCUGUCUCUAUUAAAAUUAUUAUAGAAUUUAAUUUUUAAGUUAAAAAGCUUAAAUUUAUUUAAAAGACGAGAAGACCCUAUAGAUCUUUAUAUAAAUUUUAUUGAUUUUAAUUAAGAAUAUUUUAUUAAUUAAUAUUUUUUAUAUUUUAUUGGGGUAAUAAAAAGAUUUAAUAAAUUCUUUUUAAAUUAAAACAUUAAUUUAUGGUUAAGUGAUCCAAUAUUUUUGAUUAAAAGUUUAAGUUACCUUAGGGAUAACAGCGUAAUUUUUUUAGAGAGUUCAUAUCGAUAAAAAAGUUUGCGACCUCGAUGUUGGAUUAAAAAUUAUCUCGGGUGCAGAAGUUUGAGAUUUUGGUCUGUUCGACCAUUAAAUUUUUACA
Molecule: ribosomal RNA, 512 nt
Filed under: Rhantus sinuatus
Lineage: Eukaryota; Metazoa; Arthropoda; Insecta; Coleoptera; Dytiscidae
Description: partial 16S ribosomal RNA
Rfam family: Bacterial large subunit ribosomal RNA
Source: RNAcentral